Olea europaea var. sylvestris is the source of this 308-nucleotide long non-coding RNA. RefSeq lists it as uncharacterized. The transcript is spliced from 3 exons. NCBI's taxonomy places the organism in Eukaryota, Viridiplantae, Streptophyta, Magnoliopsida, Lamiales, Oleaceae. The record is from RefSeq and is a predicted model, not a curated record.
CCCAUGAUAUUCUUAAUCAUUAAGUAAUAUGCACGACUUCAACUAUUUAAAGACCACUCAUUUACCUCCUAAAUAAUAUAUUAGCUCCCUGAACUCGUCCCUAAGUGAUUCCAAGUGAAAAGAGGGUGAAACAGCCAAAGAGAAUUAGAAGCAAGAAGCUGGAAUUUCUGAACAGCUUUGUUACUCCACAGUUUUGAGGCGACUUUUUGACGUUGAGCGAAAAAGGGAAUUGAUACACACUCCAUAGGAGCUUACACACAUAAAGGCGAAAGGUGAACACGGAACUACAUAGAGAGUAUGGCUAGCUG